ACUGUAUGACCUGCUGGAAGAUCUCAUGAGGAAUUCCGGUCGUUAAAGGGUGCCUCCCCAACUCUGGACCAGAAAAGGCAAUUUGAUAAAUGGAGCACUGGAAGAAAUAUCUGUGAACCAGAAUGGCAACUUCCAGGUGAAAUGCAAGCUGUAUUUGCAAAUGAGGUGUGGAUGUUUAUUACACCCUCUCUGCUCCACCAGUGCUCAGUCUUAUGCAAUCUAAAGGCCCUCAGGAGGGAGCAUCUGUUUUUCACUUCAGUGCAAGGCAAGCUGGGAAGCCUGUGUGCAGAAUUUUCAAGUGGAGGAAGUCAGAAUGGGAGAAAACAACUCCAGAUUCUCUUCACACUUUGGUGUGACUGUUUUGAAACAUUCUCUCAACAAGGGGCAAGUCCUCAUCUCUCUACAGAUGUGCAGAGGCAUCCAUCGUCACACCCCACCCACAGCUACCUUUGUCAA
Cricetulus griseus (Chinese hamster) is the source of this 456-nucleotide non-coding RNA. The record is from RefSeq and is a predicted model, not a curated record. NCBI's taxonomy places the organism in Eukaryota, Metazoa, Chordata, Mammalia, Rodentia, Cricetidae.